Molecule: non-coding RNA, 310 nt
Organism: Macaca mulatta (Rhesus monkey)
Lineage: Eukaryota; Metazoa; Chordata; Mammalia; Primates; Cercopithecidae
Source: RefSeq, a predicted model, not a curated record
GGUGAUUUGCUGGUCUGUGGAGAGUCUGAUGCGCUGAGUUUCUUAUUCAGCCCAAAGGGAGACAAUUCUAGGUGUAACUGGACCCCCAAGCUCACCCGUGAAUACCUCUGUGAUGAGCACAGCAAACCGUGAUGGAAAUGAUAUUUUGCUUACAUGUCCUAACUUUCCCGGUCUACUGUGGAGUCUUCCUAAAUCCAUUGUCCUGCCCCAGCAAGUUGGCCCAUCUAAGAGAAAAUUCUGAAAAUACUACAAGAAAAAAUAUAAGCAGUACUUGUAAGCAAGGAAGUGCCAAAAGACCAUGGAUUGAAGA